Molecule: non-coding RNA, 21 nt
Filed under: Caenorhabditis elegans
Lineage: Eukaryota; Metazoa; Nematoda; Chromadorea; Rhabditida; Rhabditidae
Source: RNAcentral
UGGUCCAUUCCAAUGCCUCAG